Long non-coding RNA from Helianthus annuus (common sunflower), 4825 nucleotides. RefSeq lists it as uncharacterized. The transcript is spliced from 4 exons. NCBI's taxonomy places the organism in Eukaryota, Viridiplantae, Streptophyta, Magnoliopsida, Asterales, Asteraceae. The record is from RefSeq and is a predicted model, not a curated record.
GUGUGUGUGUGUUGGAGGUGUAUGUCGACACCCACAAAGGAAAAAGGAUAAACCCUCAAAUUCAGCCCCUUUAAGUCUAAAUUGAAGAUGGAUUCAAGUUGAGAUUGAUGCAUGAACCCGAUUUCUUGAUGAUCUAGUACUCACAAUCAUGUGGAACGUGUCAAGGAGAGCUCAAGCAUAGGAGGAUAACGGGUCAAGAUAAGGCAAGGUGACAAAUACACUUAUUGGAGUACUCAAGGUAAGUGAUUCCGAUUUCACUUCUUAGCUUGUUUAAAUAAGGUAGUGUUCUAGAUAAUUGGGUAUGUUACGAACUCAAUAUGGAUUUGGUUGAAUGAAAACGAUGGUUCUCGCUAAAUAGAUCGAAUGGGUCAAAUAAGGUAUUAUUGUCAUAACAUAAUGAAGUAUAAGUAAGUUCCGAACCUCUUUUGAGUAUUUAGAAAGAUUUGUUAAUUUUGUCAUAUGUUGCGAAUAGUGAGAUAUGUAAGAACGUAAGAUCAAAUGAAGUUCUAAGUUUAGUUUUGUGGUGAUGGGUCAAAAAUGUUAACUAAGUCGGAAAGUGUGUAAUAAAGAUCAAACGGGUCAAAACUAGGAAACGGGGUAAGGUGAGGUUUCGGCCAUUAAGGCAUGGGGAAAGUAUUGGUAUGAUUUGGGACCUUGAAAGGAUGUUACCAUACGUUUGGAACGCUCGUGGUGCAAGUAUAAUCGAUCCCGAUAGCCAAAAAGUAGAAAUUAGCGUCUGGGAUGCAGAAGGGGCGUCGCCGACGUCCCAAAGGACCGUCGGUGAUGGUGCUUGGGUGGUUCUGUGCUUACGACGUCUUAAUUUCCUGUCUACGGACUUCUUUCCCGACGGACAAAAUUAGUGGGCGUCACCGACGGCCUGGUGAGGCGUCGGCGUCGGCGACGGUGCCUCCGUUUCCUGCUUUCUGUUUUCGCCAUGUAGCGCUCUCGGUUGAACUCAUUUCCGUCCGGGUGCUCCGUAAAGACUCCGUAAGCCUUGUUAGGCAUAAGAAAGCACUAACCUUAUUAAAAUAGAUAGCUAUGCACUCAAGUUCAUGUAAAAGUGCGUAUCUUAUAAAUAAUUAAAUGGUGAAAGGAAAUGUGUUAGAACAGUUUAUACGGAUAAAAUGAUAAAACUUGUUCAUAAGAAUGCUUACUUGUGAAUUAUUACAUAUGUUUAUAAUACAAUAGUAGGAGGUGGUUAAGGGAAUAUGACUUUAAUUGCACGUGUUAUAUGUAUUUUGGCAUACAAGGACAUGUACGAUACACAUAGGUAUGAAUACAUGAUUUUAAGUAUAUUUGAAUAUAUGUAGGGAUGUAAACGUGUACGGUUGUAAGUAUGUACGUGUGUAUGUACGUGCGAAUGCAUAAUUUAGAUGUAUUGAGAAUUAACGUUACUAACGACACACUUGAGUUUAGAAUAUAAUGCAGGAAUGAGAAUGACGGAUCCUUAUGAAGUUGAAGCUGAACUUGGAACGAGAGAUUUCAAGAGAAUAGUCGAAUGCUACACGGAAGUUAAUUGCGUGAGACUAGUGUCGUAUGAGGUUGUCAAUGUCUAAUGAUUUAGUUGUAUGUGAUGUUCACAGGUACCACAUGGAUUCCUUCUUCUACUAACGAAGCUGAGCGGACGUAGAUCGAGUCAAGAGCAAGGGUUGUAUGGAAAGAACGGUCAAAUAGUUCGAAAUAUGUAUUGCUUUGAAGCGUCAAUACAAUGUGAAUAUUGUAAAACCCUUCCAGUAAAUGUUUAAUAAAUUGCAUCUGAACUUUUAUGUUAGAAAUAUGUUUAUUAAAGAAAGAAAUUUUAAGGCUCGUAUUUCCGCUGCGUCGAUUUAAAAAUAUUACGUGGUAGGGUCUUACAAGUUGGUAUCAGAGCCAUGGUUUGAGGGAAAUCAAGUACGAGGAGGUAAGUACUUGAACUCAAACCCGUGUGCUCUGUGAAUAGUGACCGUACAAUCCGAGACUCGAUCAAGACAGAAAGGUAAAACUUGAUACAAGUAAGUAUAUGUGUAAUGAUACUAAUAAUGAUGGAUGUAUUAAGGUGAACAUGCAUGGACAACGAGGAUGUUACACAGUCGCGGACUAGCAAGGAAGUGAAGGCAAGUAAUAAAGCAAGCAUUGAAUCUCAGGUAAGCUCGACGAAUGGACACGCAAUGCCACCAAACGGGAAGGAAUGAUCAUCGUAAGAUAAAGAUAACGAAUCAAUGGAAUCUACUUCCGCCAGGUAUGUGCAAAAAGGGUUGUAACUUUAAUAGGAGGUUAUGACUCGACUAGAGAUGGGUGUGGCAUAAACGCAUAAGCUAACCUCUUCUAUGGAUAUGAAAGUAAUUAGUAGGAACAUUAGUGAUGGAAUGUUGUGGUUCGCACAAGGUGAACGAAAUAAAAUAAUAAAUACCUAAAGGCAAUGACGACCCCGAAACGAAUUUUGGUAAUAUGUGUAUUUACGCGGUUUAAAAUUACCAUGUGCCAACAAAAGUACUCAGAAAGAAUGCCAAUCACAGAAUACCGAAGUAAACUCACGAUAGGUACCCCUGUGGCUAACGUUAGGAUGAAAUAACUUGUAUGGUACAUGUGUGAGAUGGAAAUUAUUUGAUUCACUAUGAUUGGUUAAUGUAUGAAAGUCUGAUGCUUUAUUAAGAAGGCAAGAACAAGACCUAUACGAAUGGCUAUGCAUGAAUAUUACCUCUCUAACGAGUUACAAGUGUUUUCGUGUUACAGUAAGCAUUUUGAAUGAACUAAUUUAAAAGUAAGGAUAGAAUUGGUCUAAUAGGAACGAGAAAGGUUUCGGGGACAAAACCUUCUUUAAGGGGGGUAGACUUGUAACGCCCCAAAACUCGAAUGCUCACAUUCGUCAUAUGAGUAACGCCCUAAAACCUUGAAUUUUUAUAUUUGUCGUAUGUUCCAAAUGAUAAAACAUGAAAUAAAAUGACUAGGCUAUUUAGCCUAGUUAAAUUAUUUAGUCAAAACAAGUAAUGAAUGAGUUUGGUGGCAAUUGUGAGGAUGUGACAAAAUAGAGGGGCUAAACUUGGAAAAAUUGAGUUUAAGUUUUACAUAAUCUAGAAAACUCAGUAUUGUGUGUGUGUGUGUGUUGGAGGUGUAUGUCGACACCCACAAAGGAAAAAGGAGAAACCCUCACAUUCAGCCCCUUUAAGUCUAAAUUGAAGAUGGAUUCAAGUUGAGAUUGAUGCAUGAACCCGAUUUCUUGAUGAUCUAGUACUCACAAUCAUGUGGAACGUGUCAAGGAGAGCUCAAGCAUAGGAGGAUAACGGGUCAAGAUAAGGCAAGGUGACAAAUACACUUAUUGGAGUACUCAAGGUAAGUGAUUCCGAUUUCACUUCUUAGCUUGUUUAAAUAAGGUAGUGUUCUAGAUAAUUGGGUAUGUUACGAACUCAAUAUGGAUUUGGUUGAAUGAAAACGAUGGUUCUCGCUAAAUAGAUCGAAUGGGUCAAAUAAGGUAUUAUUGUCAUAACAUCAUGAAGUAUAAGUAAGUUCCGAACCUCUUUUCAGUAUUUAGAAAGAUUUGUUAAUUUUGUCAUAUGUUGCGAAUAGUGAGAUAUGUAAGAACGUAAGAUCAAAUGAAGUUCUAAGUUUAGUUUUGUGGUGAUGGGUCAAAAAUGUUAACUAAGUCGGAAAGUGUGUAAUAAAGAUCAAACGGGUCAAAACUAGGAAACGGGGUAAGGUGAGGUUUCGGCCAUUAAGGCAUGGGGAAAGUAUUGGUAUGAUUUGGGACCUUGAAAGGAUGUUACCAUACGUUUGGAACGCUCGUGGUGCAAGUAUAAUCGACCCCGAUAGCCAAAAAGUAGAAAUUAGCGUCUGGGAUGCAGAAGGGGCGUCGCCGACGUCCCAAAGGACCGUCGGUGACGGUGCUUGGGUGGUUCUGUGCUUACGACGUCUUAAUUUCCUGUCUACGGACUUCUUUCCCGACGGACAAAAUUAGUGGGCGUCGCCGACGGCCUGGUGAGGCGUCGGCGACGGUGCCUCCGUUUCCUGCUUUCUGUUUUCACCAUGUAGCGCUCUCGGUUGAACUCAUUUCUGUCCGGGUGCUCCGUAAAGACUCCGUAAGCCUUGUUAGGCAUAAGAAAGCACUAACCUUAUUAAAAUAGAUAGCUAUGCACUCAAGUUCAUGUAAAAGUGCGUAUCUUAUAAAUAAUUAAAUGGUGAAAGGAAAUGUGUUAGAAUAGUUUAUACGGAUAAAAUGAUAAAACUUGUUCAUAAGAAUGCUUACUUGUGAAUUAUUACGUAUGUUUAUAAUACAAUAGUAGGAGGUGGUUAAGGGAAUAUGACUUUAAUUGCACGUGUUAUAUGUAUUUUGGCAUACAAGGACAUGUACGAUACACAUAGGUAUGAAUACAUGAUUGUAAGUAUAUUUGGAUAUAUGUAGGGAUGUAAACGUGUACGGUUGUAAGUAUGUACGUGUGUAUGUACAUGCGAAUGCAUAAUUUAGAUGUAUUGAGAAUUAACGUUACUAACGACACACUUGAGUUUAGAAUAUAAUGCAGGAAUGAGAAUGACGGAUCCUUAUGAAGUUGAAGCUGAACUCGGAACGAGAGAUUUCAAGAGAAUAGUCGAAUGCUAUACGGAAGUUAAUUGCGUGAGACUAGUGUCGUAUGAGGUUGUCAAUGUCUAAUGAUUUAGUUGUAUGUGAUGUUCACAGGUACCACAUGGAUUCCUUCUUCUACUAACGAAGCUGAGCGGACGUAGAUCGAGUCAAGAGCAAGGGUUGUACGGAAAGAACGGUCAAAUAGUUCGAAAUAUGUAUUGCUUUGAAGCGUCAAUACAAUGUGAAUAUUGUAAAACCCUUCCAGUAAAUGUUUAAUAAAUUGCAUCUGAA